UUGUAUCAGUGAAUUAAGAGAAAAAGCCCUUCGGAGCAUUCCGAAGGGCUUUUUCUCUUAAUUCACUGAUAUUU
This 74-nucleotide unclassified non-coding RNA is filed under the name Hymenobacter daecheongensis DSM 21074. Its description in RNAcentral is "Flavo-1 RNA". The record is from RNAcentral. Lineage: Bacteria; Pseudomonadati; Bacteroidota; Cytophagia; Cytophagales; Hymenobacteraceae.